AUCUGUCUCAAAUGCACUUUGGAGCAGAUACCUCCAUUUAUGUUUGGAUCAUGAUAUAAUUUCCAGCCUUCCAAAGUUGCAGCUCUCCAGGCCUGACCACAUCGUUUGCAUAAGCGCUGUGCCUGAAAAAUAAUGGAUUUUCUCAGCAACACACUUUAAGAUUGUCAAUCCCUGCUGAUUCUGAACUGACAAUCAAACGACCAGUCAAAUGAAGAACUGUGUCUAAAAUCAGAGACACCUUAGAGCCAAUGCUGAGUCCUCUACGGCCAGCUUGUUAGUAACGUAGCAGAAAACUUAAAGCAUCAUAAUACAAUGAUUUUAUUUAUUUA
Molecule: long non-coding RNA, 329 nt
Organism: Chiroxiphia lanceolata (lance-tailed manakin)
Lineage: Eukaryota; Metazoa; Chordata; Aves; Passeriformes; Pipridae
Exons: 2
Source: RefSeq, a predicted model, not a curated record